This 1154-nucleotide ribosomal RNA is filed under the name human gut metagenome. RNAcentral's name for it is "bacterial LSU rRNA". It matches the Rfam family "Bacterial large subunit ribosomal RNA", at positions 805 to 1983 of the family's 2925-position model. The record is from RNAcentral.
UGAGGUGUGGAUAGGGGAGAAAUUCCAAUCGAACCCGGAGAUAGCUGGUUCUCCUCGAAAUAGCUUUAGGGCUAGCCCCGUAUUAGUUUAGCGGAGGUAGAGCACUGAAUUCCUAAGGGGGCGUCAAAGCUUACCAAGGGAUAUCAAACUCCGAAUGCCGCAUAAAUGAUGUACGGGAGUCAGACUGCACGAGAUAAGUUGGGCAGUCAAAAGGGAAAGAGCCCAGACCUACAGCUAAGGUCCCAAAGUGUGUGUUAAGUGGAAAAGGAUGUGGGAUUUCAGAGACAACUAGGAUGUUGGCUUAGAAGCAGCCACACAUUCAAAGAGUGCGUAAUAGCUCACUAGUCGAGAGGUCCUGCGCCGAAAAUGUCCGGGGCUGAAACACAACACCGAAGCUUAGGAAUGUAGAAAUACAUUGGUAGAGGAGCAUUCUUAAAGGAAUGAAGCAGUACCGGUAAGGAGCUGUGGACUUUUAAGAAGAGAGAAUGCCGGAAUGAGUAGCGAGAUGGAGGUGGGAAUCCUCCAGGCCGAAUAUCCAAGGUUUCCAGAGUAAAGCUGAUCUGCUCUGGGUAAGUCGGGGCCUAAGGUAAGGCUGAGAAGCGUAGCCGAUGGACAACAGGUUGAGAUUCCUGUACCGCGUAUCAUCAGAACUGUGGGGACACAGAAGGACAGCACAUCCCGGGAAUGGAAAGACCGGGGCAAGCAGGGUAGGAGUUAAGCUGGCAAAUCCGCUUAACAAUCCGAAGCUGUGAUGCGGAGCGAAUUUAAGUAGCGAAGUGUGCGAUUCCAGCUGUCAAGAAAAGCCGCUAUUGUGUGAUACGUGCCCGUACCGUAAACCGACACAGGUAGAUGAGGAGAGAAUCCUAAGGCCGGCGGGAGAAGCAUUGUUAAGGAACUCGGCAAAAUGACCCUGUAACUUCGGGAGAAAGGGUGCCUGGGAAACCAGGCCGCAGAGAAUAGGCUCAAGCAACUGUUUAGCAAAAACACAGGUCUAUGCAAAACCGUAAGGUGAGGUAUAUGGGCUGACGCCUGCCCGGUGCUGGAAGGUUAAGAGGAGAGGUUAGAGCAAUCGAAGCUUUGAAUUGAAGCCCCAGUAAACGGCGGCCGUAACUAUAACGGUCCUAAGGUAGCGAAAUUCCUUGUCGGGUAAGUUC